This 265-nucleotide ribosomal RNA is filed under the name uncultured bacterium. RNAcentral's name for it is "partial 16S ribosomal RNA". It matches the Rfam family "Bacterial small subunit ribosomal RNA", at positions 1236 to 1500 of the family's 1533-position model. The record is from RNAcentral.
GGUACAACGAGUCGCAAGACCGCGAGGUUUAGCAAAUCUCUUAAAGCCGUUCUCAGUUCGGAUUGUAGGCUGCAACUCGCCUACAUGAAGUCGGAAUCGCUAGUAAUCGCGGAUCAGCAUGCCGCGGUGAAUACGUUCCCGGGCCUUGUACACACCGCCCGUCACACCAUGAGAGUUUGUAACACCCAAAGCCGGUGGGGUAACCUUUUGGAGCCAGCCGUCUAAGGUGGGACAGAUGAUUGGGGUGAAGUCGUAACAAGGUAGC